GACGAACGCUGGCGGCGUGCUUAACACAUGCAAGUCGAACGGAAAGGCCCCCACUUUUUUGGUGGGGGUGCUCGAGUGGCGAACGGGUGAGUAACACGUGGGUGAUCUGCCCUGUACUUCGGGAUAAGCUUGGGAAACUGGGUCUAAUACCGGAUAGGACCAUGGUUUAGUGUCUCAUGGUGGAAAAAUUAUUGUUUUGGUGCAGGAUGAGCUCGCGGCCUAUCAGCUUGUUGGUGGGGUAAUGGCCUACCAAGGCGUCGACGGGUAGCCGGCCUGAGAGGGUGGACGGCCACAUUGGGACUGAGAUAUGGCCCAGACUCCUACGGGAGGCAGCAGUGGGGAAUAUUGCACAAUGGGCGCAAGCCUGAUGCAGCGACGCAGCGUGGGGGAUGACGGCCUUCGGGUUGUAAACUCCUUUCGUUAGGGACGAAGCCGCACCUUUUUUGGGUGUGGUGACGGUACCUUUGUUAAGAAGCACCGGCUAACUACG
RNAcentral lists this ribosomal RNA (490 nucleotides) under uncultured bacterium. RNAcentral's name for it is "partial 16S ribosomal RNA". It matches the Rfam family "Bacterial small subunit ribosomal RNA", at positions 28 to 505 of the family's 1533-position model. The record is from RNAcentral.